This 497-nucleotide ribosomal RNA is filed under the name uncultured bacterium. RNAcentral describes it as "partial 16S ribosomal RNA". It matches the Rfam family "Bacterial small subunit ribosomal RNA", at positions 28 to 507 of the family's 1533-position model. The record is from RNAcentral.
GAUGAACGCUGGCGGCGUGCCUAAUACAUGCAAGUCGAGCGAACAGAUAAGGAGCUUGCUCCUUUGACGUUAGCGGCGGACGGGUGAGUAACACGUGGAUAACCUACCUAUAAGACUGGGAUAACUUCGGGAAACCGGAGCUAAUACCGGAUAACAUAUUGAACCGCAUGGUUCAAUUGUGAAAGGCGGCUUUGCUGUCACUUAUAGAUGGAUCCGCGCCGUAUUAGCUAGUUGGUAAGGUAACGGCUUACCAAGGCAACGAUACGUAGCCGACCUGAGAGGGUGAUCGGCCACACUGGAACUGAGACACGGUCCAGACUCCUACGGGAGGCAGCAGUAGGGAAUCUUCCGCAAUGGGCGAAAGCCUGACGGAGCAACGCCGCGUGAGUGAUGAAGGUCUUCGGAUCGUAAAACUCUGUUAUCAGGGAAGAACAAAUGUGUAAGUAACUGUGCACAUCUUGACGGUACCUGAUCAGAAAGCCACGGCUAACUACGUG